This 253-nucleotide ribosomal RNA is filed under the name uncultured prokaryote. Its description in RNAcentral is "partial 16S ribosomal RNA". It matches the Rfam family "Bacterial small subunit ribosomal RNA", at positions 524 to 776 of the family's 1533-position model. The record is from RNAcentral.
UACGUAUGGGGCGAGCGUUGUUCGGAGUUAUUGGGCGUAAAGGGCGUGUAGGCGGCCCGACAAGUCUGGUGUGAAAUCGCAGGGCUCAACCCUGCGGGUGCGCUGGAAACUGUCGGGCUCGAGUCCCGGGGGGGAAGCUGGAAUUCCUGGUGUAGGAGUGAAAUCUGUAGAGAUCAGGAAGAACACCGGUGGCGAAGGCGAGCUUCUAUUCGAGGACUGACGCUGAGGCGCGAAAGCGUGGGGAGCAAACAGG